UGGGGAAUAUUGCACAAUGGGCGCAAGCCUGAUGCAGCCAUGCCGCGUGUAUGAAGAAGGCCUUCGGGUUGUAAAGUACUUUCAGCGGGGAGGAAGGGAGUAAAGUUAAUACCUUUGCUCAUUGACGUUACCCGCAGAAGAAGCACCGGCUAACUCCGUGCCAGCAGCCGCGGUAAUACGGAGGGUGCAAGCGUUAAUCGGAAUUACUGGGCGUAAAGCGCACGCAGGCGGUUUGUUAAGUCAGAUGUGAAAUCCCCGGGCUCAACCUGGGACCUGCAUCUGAUACUGGCAAGCUUGAGUCUCGUAGAAGGGGGUAGAAUUCCAGGUGUAGCGGUGAAAUGCGUAGAGAUCUGGAGGAAUACCGGUGGCGAAGGCGGCCCCCUGGACGAAGACUGACGCUCAGGUGCGAAAGCGUGGGGAGCAAACAGG
This 429-nucleotide ribosomal RNA is filed under the name Chloroflexota bacterium. RNAcentral's name for it is "Chloroflexi bacterium partial 16S ribosomal RNA". It matches the Rfam family "Bacterial small subunit ribosomal RNA", at positions 355 to 776 of the family's 1533-position model. The record is from RNAcentral. Lineage: Bacteria; Bacillati; Chloroflexota.